UACGUAGGGGGCGAGCGUUGUCCGGAUUCAUUGGGCGUAAAGGGUGCGUAGGCGGCGCGGUAAGUCGGAUGUGAAAUCUCGGAGCUUAACUUCGAAACUGCAUUCGAUACUGCCGUGCUUGAGGACUGGAGAGGAGACUGGAAUUUACGGUGUAGCGGUGAAAUGCGUAGAUAUCGUAAGGAAGACCAGUGGCGAAGGCGGGUCUCUGGACAGUUCCUUACGCUGAGGCACGAAGGUCAGGGGAGCAAACGGG
RNAcentral lists this ribosomal RNA (253 nucleotides) under uncultured bacterium. RNAcentral describes it as "partial 16S ribosomal RNA". It matches the Rfam family "Bacterial small subunit ribosomal RNA", at positions 524 to 776 of the family's 1533-position model. The record is from RNAcentral.